UCCGCAUGUUCACAUGAUUAAAGGUAUUCCGGUAGACGAUGGGGAUGCGUUCCAUUAGAUAGUAGGCGGGGUAACGGCCCACCUAGUCUUCGAUGGAUAGGGGUUCUGAGAGGAAGGUCCCCCACAUUGGAACUGAGACACGGUCCAAACUCCUACGGGGGGCAGCAGUGAGGAAUAUUGGUCAAUGGGCGAGAGCCUGAACCAGCCAAGUAGCGUGAAGGAUGACUGCCCUAUGGGUUGUAAACUUCUUUUAUAAAGGAAUAAAGUCGGGUAUGCAUACCCGUUUGCAUGUACUUUAUGAAUAAGGAUCGGCUAACUCCGUGCCAGCAGCCGCGGUAAUACGGAGGAUCCGAGCGUUAUCCGGAUUUAUUGGGUUUAAAGGGAGCGUAGAUGGAUGUUUAAGUCAGUUGUGAAAGUUUGCGGCUCAACCGUAAAAUUGCAGUUGAUACUGGAUAUCUUGAGUGCAGUUGAGGCAGGCGGAAUUCGUGGUGUAGCGGUGAAAUGCUUAGAUAUCACGAAGAACUCCGAUUGCGAAGGCAGCCUGCUAAGCUGCAACUGACAUUGAGGCUCGAAAGUGUGGGUAUCAAACAGGAUUAGAUACCCUGGUAGUCCACACGGUA
RNAcentral lists this ribosomal RNA (620 nucleotides) under uncultured bacterium. RNAcentral describes it as "bacterial SSU rRNA". It matches the Rfam family "Bacterial small subunit ribosomal RNA", at positions 168 to 804 of the family's 1533-position model. The record is from RNAcentral.